Cygnus olor (mute swan) is the source of this 1672-nucleotide long non-coding RNA. RefSeq lists it as uncharacterized. The record is from RefSeq and is a predicted model, not a curated record. NCBI's taxonomy places the organism in Eukaryota, Metazoa, Chordata, Aves, Anseriformes, Anatidae. The transcript has 3 exons.
CAAGCCAGCAGGACCCCCUCAGUGCCCGCCAGAUUGUCUCAUUCAGCUAGCUCUCAGGUUGCUGCUGAUUGCCGUCUUUAUUCAUUACCAAAACACUUGCUACAUGGUGCUUGGGCCCUGGCAACCAAACUCUAAAUCCUGCCAGUGAGAACGUAAUUACUAGUACACCGCAAACAGAGAAUGGAGUCUGCUGUGAGUUGUUAGAAGCAGCCGUGAGAUAGACCCGGGCUAUUUUCCUGCAACUGUAGCUGACUACUUGCUUGUCACUUGGUGGGGAAUACAAAAUACGGUGUAAGAGGAAUUUUACCUAGGCUUUCAUCUACAGAUUUAUGAAGUGGCUGCAGCCAUCAGCGCUACUUGAAUGCAGAAGCAUCUAAUUAUAUUUUAAGGACUGGACGGAGGUUUGAUGACCUGUUUAGUCCCAAGAGUCUAUCACACCUCUCAGAUGUGUAAAAGUAAAAAGAAUACCUGUCCUGUGGAAAGAAAAAGCAGAGAAAUCAUUGUAAUUCUAUCAGGUCAGAUGAAGUGGGAGAAGACUGAACACAGAUGUAAUCCCCCCACCACACCAGGUGAGGAGUGCAAGAAGUUCUUAUGGAGCAGUGAGAGACAAGCAGGGAGUGGGAUGCAGCUAAAGGAGAGGCCUACAGAUGAGCAGAAUAUUUCUCCAUUCAGCCUCUGCAAUGGACACUGGACAUAAGUCCCAGGAGCCACACUGGAGAAAAGUGGAAAACUGUGCACUCCUGUACUUAACCUGGUCUCCAAGAGGUUUGAUCUGAACUUUCAUUGUUAAUGCCUGGUCAUAUCCAUCUAGCAUAACACCUAUGUUCUAUGAAUGGCUUAUAAAAGCAGGGAAGUUUGAAAGAAAUAUAGACUUACUGAAUCCAGUAAUAGCAGUAAAGGCAAUUUAGAAAUUUCAAGAUUGGAACAAGAGUAUCAAAACCCAAGAACUCAGCAAAUCUACCCUUGGCAGCACAAGGUAAAAUGUAUGAUUCACAUUGUUUUGUUACAGAAAGGAGAUAAAUUCAACAGUUUCCACUGAAAUAUAGGUUAAAACUGUAAGGAAUGUGAGCCCUUGUAAAAGGGAAGACACCACUUAGGAAAGCUGUCAGAUGUUCCUGAGGGGCAUGUUGUAUAUCUCCUUUGUCUCCUUACAUAGACUGUCUCCCCGAAGCUGACUUAUCCCUGAGUAUCGGCAUGCAUUUGAUUGUUUAAUAUUCUAUCCUUCCUUAAUAUUGUAAAGUACCACAAGACACUGAAACUAUGCUUCAUAAAUUAACAAACAAUAAUAAAACACUGCUUGAGGAACCUGUUUAAAUGAUAUAAUAUUAGCAUGAAUCACAGCCUUAAUGAGAACCAAGGAAACAUUUGACAACGGAGUAUGAUAUGGCAUCAUUCAAUAAAAUAAAGUUAUAACAGCUCUCAGUAGCACCAAAUCAUUAAAUAAAUUAAGCAAACUUUUCAAUUAGACACAGCUUCCUUGGAUUUAAUAGACUUGCUAAUAGUUUGCUUUUGUAUAUUUUGUGGUUUUUCUUUGCAUCUCUGGACAGAGAAAGAGUUUGAACAUCUGAGCAAAUUCACAGGGCGUAACUGAAGAUGAUAAGAAUGUGAAAAGCAGAACUGGGAACAUCACUUUAAGACAUUACGUGAAAUUAUACAUGGGCUAAUUUACAGG